This 433-nucleotide ribosomal RNA is filed under the name uncultured bacterium. RNAcentral's name for it is "bacterial SSU rRNA". It matches the Rfam family "Bacterial small subunit ribosomal RNA", at positions 29 to 506 of the family's 1533-position model. The record is from RNAcentral.
ACGAACGCUGGCGGCAGGCUUAACACAUGCAAGUCGAACGCCCGUCUUCGGACGGGAGUGGCAGACGGGUGAGUAACGCGUGGGAACGUACCCUUUGGUUCGGGAUAACCCGGGGAAACUCGGGCUAAUACCGGAUACGCCCUAACGGGGAAAGGUUUACUGCCGAAGGAUCGGCCCGCGUCGGAUUAGCUAGUUGGUGGGGUAACGGCCUACCAAGGCGACGAUCCGUAGCUGGUCUGAGAGGAUGAUCAGCCACACUGGGACUGAGACACGGCCCAGACUCCUACGGGAGGCAGCAGUGGGGAAUAUUGGACAAUGGGCGCAAGCCUGAUCCAGCCAUGCCGCGUGAGUGAAGAAGGCCUUAGGGUUGUAAAGCUCUUUCAGCGGGGACGAUAAUGACGGUACCCGCAGAAGAAGCCCCGGCUAACUUCGU